Molecule: long non-coding RNA, 243 nt
Filed under: Ananas comosus (pineapple)
Lineage: Eukaryota; Viridiplantae; Streptophyta; Magnoliopsida; Poales; Bromeliaceae
Description: long non-coding RNA (ACOM_LNC044374)
Source: RNAcentral
UGGUUGUACCGGUACAGGGGACUUGUACCGGUACAGGGCCGGUUACCCCUCCAACCCGAGCCUCGGGUUGUGAUUUUCGUGGGGCUUGUACCGGUACAAGGGCCCGUGUACCGGUACAAGGAGGCUGAUUUCGUGCAGUUUGAACUGCAGGGGUGUUUUUGCAUUUGUGUCUCUUCUAUUUGAACCCCCACGCCUCCUAGGGCUCCUCCUGAGCUUGGCACAGCAGGAGAGAAGGUAGGAGAG